Long non-coding RNA from Medicago truncatula (barrel medic), 1497 nucleotides. RefSeq lists it as uncharacterized. The transcript is spliced from 3 exons. The record is from RefSeq and is a predicted model, not a curated record. NCBI's taxonomy places the organism in Eukaryota, Viridiplantae, Streptophyta, Magnoliopsida, Fabales, Fabaceae.
GCUGGAAACACCCCCAAACUGAAAAUGCAGAACAGCAAUUCAAACUUAUUAACCAUCAACCUCCAUUUUGAAUCUCACGUGAGUCUUCUUAGUUCUUUCUCUCUUCCUUCACUUGAAUCUCACAAAGAAUCAUUUUCAUCUACCACCAUUUUCUUCAUAUUUUCAGAAACUGAUACUCACUAUCAACCUACCCAUUAACUUAAAUUUCAUCUUCUUGAACAAGAUUGUUAAAUUUUAUUUCACUUUCCAUUGAAGUUUGGAGAUUGCAACUUAGUUUGGUUUCUAGAUCUGGAUUCAUAUAAGCUGUUGGUUGAUUUCUGAAACUUGAAGACAACCUUCCAAAUAGUAUUGAUUUUCCUGUAACUGGUGGUGCAUAUGAUUUCACAAAAGCAACAACAUCACUAACAAAUGAGUUAAUCACUUCAUCAAAGAAAGUCACUCUUUUAAGGCAUGGUCUUAGCACUUGGAAUGCAGAAAGUUGGAUUCAGGCGAUUUGCUCUCUACUUUUUAGUUAUUAGCUCUAUUAUUGAGUUCAGGGAGAUAUUUAACUUGCCUCGGAAAUGCUUGUAUUAUAUUUUUAUUUGUAUUACCGUUCUUGCGUUGCGUGGCUCUAGAUGACAAGGCCAAACCGCCACGAGCUUAUAAGUUCGUAUGGUUAAAAUAGAUUUGUUUGGUAACUGUCUUCUUUCACUAGCUUAAAGUGUUUUUUUUUUUUCACUACCUUAUAGCGUUUUUGGUAAGCUACUUCAAUUAGCAUUUGAACUUAUAGCUUUUAACAUAUCAUUUUCUCUCUCUCAACUUACCCUCAUUAUCUUAAUUGGUUUUUUUAAAAAUAUUAAUUGAAAAUAUCUUUUUAUGUCAUUUUAUAUUUUAUAUUUCUUAGUUUAAACGCUAGUUUUACUAAACACUUCAAAAUCAGUUAGAUAACUUAUCCUCUAUAUGUCAUCAGCUAGCUUACCCGUUAUCUCCUACUUUUACCAAUCAAAACCUAUGUCUCCAUCAUGAAAACCUUCAUCGAUCAUUUAAACUGUAAUCUUUUUACCACAUUUACAAUCCAUUGUCAUUAAAUUGAUCAUAUGUGUGUAGGGAAGCUCAGAUUUGUCAGUGCUAACUGAAGUUGGGGUGGAGCAACCAGAGAUAUCCAAGAAAGCUUUGGAAAAUAUUCACUUUGACCAAUGUCUUGCCAGUCCAAUACCUCGUGCCAAGCAAACUACUGAAAUUACAUGGCAAGGAAGGGAAAAACCAUUGGUUUACAUUGAUUCACUUAAAGAAAUAUCUCUAUCAUCUUGAAGAAGCAUUUGGACAUGUUAUUGAUUUAGUGUAAACAAGUGCACUUGAUACAGUUGUAAACAAUUUGACUUUUUGUGUUAUUGAUUGAGUGUUAUGCUUUGAUUUAGUUAGUGUUCUCAAAUGUACUUAUGAAAUUAUCAUUAUAGAUGCACAACACAAUGAUAUUUGGUAUCAAAUUAUGAAUCGAUGGUUAUCUGUUAUGGGGUC